AAAGCCUGAUGGAGCACGCCGCGUGUGUGAUGAAGGGUUUCGGCUCGUAAAACACUGUUGUAAGAGAAGAAUGACAUUGAGAGUAACUGUUCAAUGUGUGACGGUAUCUUACCAGAAAGGAACGGCUAAAUACGUGCCAGCAGCCGCGGUAAUA
This 154-nucleotide ribosomal RNA is filed under the name uncultured Weissella sp. Its description in RNAcentral is "partial 16S ribosomal RNA". It matches the Rfam family "Bacterial small subunit ribosomal RNA", at positions 378 to 525 of the family's 1533-position model. Lineage: Bacteria; Bacillati; Bacillota; Bacilli; Lactobacillales; Lactobacillaceae. The record is from RNAcentral.